GCCCGCUUGGCACAGCGGUAAUGCGCCUCACUAGUAUUUAUUAAAUAUUAUUUAGGAAGCUAUGAGGAGAUGACUGGUUCGACUCCAGUAGUGGGCA
This 97-nucleotide transfer RNA is filed under the name Daldinia sp. FL1419. Its description in RNAcentral is "tRNA-Thr". It matches the Rfam family "tRNA". From Rfam's summary of the family: Transfer RNA (tRNA) molecules are approximately 80 nucleotides in length. Their secondary structure includes four short double-helical elements and three loops (D, anti-codon, and T loops). Further hydrogen bonds mediate the characteristic L-shaped molecular structure. tRNAs have two regions of fundamental functional importance: the anti-codon, which is responsible for specific mRNA codon recognition, and the 3' end, to which the tRNAs corresponding amino acid is attached (by aminoacyl-tRNA synthetases). tRNAs cope with the degeneracy of the genetic code in two manners: having more than one tRNA (with a specific anti-codon) for a particular amino acid; and 'wobble' base-pairing, i.e. permitting non-standard base-pairing at the 3rd anti-codon position. The record is from RNAcentral. Lineage: Eukaryota; Fungi; Ascomycota; Sordariomycetes; Xylariales; Hypoxylaceae.